RNAcentral lists this RNase P RNA (387 nucleotides) under Armatimonadota bacterium. RNAcentral describes it as "Armatimonadetes bacterium (hot springs metagenome) RNase P RNA component class A". It matches the Rfam family "Bacterial RNase P class A". From Rfam's summary of the family: Ribonuclease P (RNase P) is a ubiquitous endoribonuclease, found in archaea, bacteria and eukarya as well as chloroplasts and mitochondria. The record is from RNAcentral. Lineage: Bacteria; Bacillati; Armatimonadota.
GGAGCAGGCCGGACGGCCGCGGGCUGGUUAAACCCGGCCCGAGGAAAGUCCGAACUCCAGAGGGCAGAGCGCCGGAUAACAUCCGGGAGGGGUGACCCUACGGAAAGUGCCACAGAAAAGAAAAGACCUCGCCGCGGCACAGCGGACGGGGUUAAGCUGAAACGGUGGUGUAAGAGACCACCGGCAGUCCGGUAACGGGCUGGCCUGGCAAACCCCGCUCGGAGCAAGACCUAGUAGGGAGGCAUAUGGAGUGGCCCGCUCCGCCUCCGGGUAGGUCGCAUCAGGCGGCAGGAAACUGCCGACCGCAGACAAAUGGCCGUCAGGGAGGGUGAAACAGUUUCGGCCCACCCUCCGUCACAGAAUUCGGCUUACAGGCCUGCUCUGGCC